This 73-nucleotide transfer RNA is filed under the name Ligilactobacillus murinus. RNAcentral's name for it is "tRNA-Phe". It matches the Rfam family "tRNA". Rfam says of the family: Transfer RNA (tRNA) molecules are approximately 80 nucleotides in length. Their secondary structure includes four short double-helical elements and three loops (D, anti-codon, and T loops). Further hydrogen bonds mediate the characteristic L-shaped molecular structure. tRNAs have two regions of fundamental functional importance: the anti-codon, which is responsible for specific mRNA codon recognition, and the 3' end, to which the tRNAs corresponding amino acid is attached (by aminoacyl-tRNA synthetases). tRNAs cope with the degeneracy of the genetic code in two manners: having more than one tRNA (with a specific anti-codon) for a particular amino acid; and 'wobble' base-pairing, i.e. permitting non-standard base-pairing at the 3rd anti-codon position. Lineage: Bacteria; Bacillati; Bacillota; Bacilli; Lactobacillales; Lactobacillaceae. The record is from RNAcentral.
GUGUUGUUAGCUCAGUUGGUAGAGCAAAGGAUUGAAGCUCCUUGUGCCGGCGGUUCGAUUCCGUCACAACACA